CCACUGGGGCAUACCUUAGUACGGCGAGUGAGCGGUAAAAGCUCAAAUUUGAAAUCUGGUACUUUCAGUGCCCGAGUUGUAAUUUGUAGAAUUUGUCUUUGAUUAGGUCCUUGUCUAUGUUCCUUGGAACAGGACGUCAUAGAGGGUGAGAAUCCCGUUUGGCGAGGAUACCUUUUCUCUGUAAGACUUUUUCGAAGAGUCGAGUUGUUUGGGAAUGCAGCUCAAAGUGGGUGGUAAAUUCCAUCUAAAGCUAAAUAUUGGCGAGAGACCGAUAGCGAACAAGUACAGUGAUGGAAAGAUGAAAAGAACUUUGAAAAGAGAGUGAAAAAGUACGUGAAAUUGUUGAAAGGGAAGGGCAUUUGAUCAGACAUGGUGUUUUUUGCAUGCACUCGCCUCUCGUGGGCUUGGGCCUCUCAAAAAUUUCACUGGGCCAACAUCAAUUCUGGCAGCAGGAUAAAUCAUUAAGAAUGUAGCUACUUCGGUAGUGUUAUAGCUUUUUGGAAUACUGUUAGCCGGGAUUGAGGACUGCGCUUCGGCAAGGAUGUUGGCAUAAUGGUUAAAUGCCGCCCGUCUUGAACCCACGGGACCA
This 589-nucleotide ribosomal RNA is filed under the name Hanseniaspora uvarum. RNAcentral describes it as "partial large subunit ribosomal RNA". It matches the Rfam family "Eukaryotic large subunit ribosomal RNA", at positions 65 to 664 of the family's 3401-position model. Lineage: Eukaryota; Fungi; Ascomycota; Saccharomycetes; Saccharomycodales; Saccharomycodaceae. The record is from RNAcentral.